AUAAGAUGGCUAUAAAUUGUGCCCUUUGAAAAGGAGAAAAAUGCUCAAACACAAGUUUUCAACAAAGCUUGAAGUACAUUUUUUUAGUAGAAUGGCAUUGCUUAACCAUGGUUUCUUUUAUGCUAUUCUUCUCCUAGCAACCAUUGUGAACUUGACGUGGUUCACUACGACUCAAGUUAUGGCUGUACGUGAUAUUGAUCCUGAUCUAUCGGGACUUCAAAGGAGAUUACUCCCACAACAAAAUGAUUUUUUUCUAACUUGUGGAAGUCAUUGUAAAAGUGAUAGCGACUGUAGUGGCUGUUGGUUUUGCUGUAGCUGUACACAUAUUCUCGCUGAUAAUUUUAUAACAUGUGCUUAAUGGCAAUUAUGCCAUGAGAUACUGCAAAUCCAUGUUACGAAAUUAUUAUAUUUUCAUGUAAUUCCUUGCACUUUUUCUUGUUUCAUCAUUUUUCAUAUUUCCUGUUAUGAAUUUAUUAUAUUUCCAUGUAAUUCCUUGAACUUUUCUUA
This is a long non-coding RNA of Nicotiana tabacum (common tobacco), 507 nucleotides long. RefSeq lists it as uncharacterized. Lineage: Eukaryota; Viridiplantae; Streptophyta; Magnoliopsida; Solanales; Solanaceae. The record is from RefSeq and is a predicted model, not a curated record.